Long non-coding RNA from Zophobas morio, 948 nucleotides. RefSeq lists it as uncharacterized. Lineage: Eukaryota; Metazoa; Arthropoda; Insecta; Coleoptera; Tenebrionidae. The transcript has 4 exons. The record is from RefSeq and is a predicted model, not a curated record.
GGACCUUUGUUGGUUUGGUUUGUCUAUGAGUCGGACGAUCCCUUUUUUCCGCAUUUAUGGUUAUUGCACUUCACACUCACAGUGAAGCUGUCGAAUUCCAUUUAGCCAUUUCGUUUACAACCACCGAACCUUUCUCGUGAAUCCGUAACUCACUUCAUUUUUAAUGCAGUUUUGUGAAAUUGUGCCAUUCAGCGUGGGUUGAAUUUACACUAGGUAAGUUAAUAUAAUUCUAAUGAAGUAAUCAUUUUAAUUUUUACAUGCUUCUGUUGUUUUUGAUAACUGUACGUAAAUAACAACAACAGUUUUUUCAGACAAGCUGGAAAUACCACCAUUAAUCACUGAAGAUUCUCCCGCUGGUUUUGAAGAACUUACGGUGAUUGUUUUUGAGAGUGAGGCGCUUUGCCAUAACAUGUUGCAAAGACUUGAAACAAAUACAAAAAAUAUGUGCGAAAUAAAAGAAAUUCUAAAGGAAACGAGUGAACAAAUCUCCAAUAUGAAAACGUCAUCAAAUGUGACAAAUCAAAAAGAAAACAGUAAUAGAAGAUAUGCCGCCAAGACCACAAGUAAACAAAUUUUGAGGAAUUAGAAGAUUAUCUCUGCCUACUACAACAAGCAGGUUUCUUUGGACUGCUAUUGUCCCAGAUAGGUGGUAAUGGGAAAAAGAACAAUGAGGGGCGUAUAUUAAAAAAAAAAAAAAAUCAGUGAAUUUGCUGUAGCUUGUUUGUUCGGUAGGAAAAUUCCAAAAUGGCUGGGACAAAAACAAUGAAUAUUAUGAAAGAAAUUACAAUGAAGACCCAUUCCGCAAUAGAAAAAGAAGUAGAACAACGCUGCUCAGAGUGGCUACGGCAUUCUAGUCAACGCCUGAAGAAAGAAAAAACAACGACAGUUUAUAGUUUCUGUGUCUUUUUUUAAGUGUAAAUUAUAUUGUAUUAUUUUCGAAUUAGGAAA